CUACGGGGCGCACCAGUGAGGAAUAUUGGUCAAUGGGCGAGAGCCUGAACCAGCCAUCCCGCGUGCAGGAUGACGGCCCUAUGGGUUGUAAACUGCUUUUCCAUACCAAGAAACCUGAUUACGUGUAAUUAGUUGCCGGUAGUAUGGGAAUAAGCAUCGGCUAACUCCGUGCCAGCAGCCGCGGUAAUACGGAGGAGGCAAGCGUUAUCCGGAUUCAUUGGGUUUAAAGGGUGCGCAGGUGGGCUUGUAAGUCAGUGGUGAAAUGUUGCCGCUUAACGGUAAAAUUGCCAUUGAUACUGCAAGUCUUGAAUAUAGUUGAGGUAGGCGGAAUGUGUUGUGUAGCGGUGAAAUGCAUAGAUAUGACACAGAACACCGAUUGCGAAGGCAGCUUACUAAGCUAUUAUUGACGCUGAGGCACGAAAGCGUGGGGAUCGAACAGGAUUAGAUACCCUCGUAGUC
RNAcentral lists this ribosomal RNA (459 nucleotides) under uncultured bacterium. RNAcentral describes it as "partial 16S ribosomal RNA". It matches the Rfam family "Bacterial small subunit ribosomal RNA", at positions 339 to 795 of the family's 1533-position model. The record is from RNAcentral.